Peromyscus californicus insignis is the source of this 2562-nucleotide long non-coding RNA. RefSeq lists it as uncharacterized. NCBI's taxonomy places the organism in Eukaryota, Metazoa, Chordata, Mammalia, Rodentia, Cricetidae. The record is from RefSeq and is a predicted model, not a curated record. The transcript is spliced from 2 exons.
AAGAAAGAAAAGAAAAACAGCCAAGCAUAUGUGGUCCACCUUCAAUCCCAGCACUCAGAAUGCAGAAUCAUUUGGACCUCUGAGUUUGAGGCCAGCCUGGUAUACAGAGGUACUUUCUGGGCAGCCAGGGCUAUGAAGACAAACUUGUCUUCAAAAAAGGAAAUAGCCAGAUGGUGGUGGAGCACGCCUUUAAUCCUAGCACUUGGGAGGCAAAGACAGGCAGACCUCUUGAGUUCAAGGUCAGCCUGGUCUACACAGUGAGUUCCAGGACAGGCUCCAAAGCUACACAGAGAAACCUUGUAAAAAGAAACAGAAAAUAAAUAAAACAACAAAAUUUAAAAAACAAAAUACAGGCUAGCAAAAUGUCUUAGAAUUGAAUAGCAAUUACUUCACCUAUAUAUUAUGUGAUUUGGUGAUACCUUCUGUAAUGGUGGAGAAGGCAUAAUAGAAUGAGAAGGAAGCUAGCUAAUCCAUUUCAACAACAAAAAAGUAGAUACAAUGAACAGAAAAUGGGUAGAGGCUAUAUACAAAUUUAUCUUAUUCUCAAUGAGGAAUUUCAUCAAGAAAGGCUCCUCCUACAAAAGGUUCCCCAAGCACCACAAGAAAACUGCCAAGGAGAGCCAAGUGUUCAAAUGCAUCAUCCCAUCUGGAAGCUUUUCAUCCAAUCAGCUACAUUCUGAUCCAGAUCACUAUAGUCAUCCCAUGAUGAAAAUGCAUUAAGCCUAACUUUAAUGAUCUCAUAGUCUUUAACAACCCCUACACAGUUCAAAUGUCCAAAGACUCUUCUAAAACUCAAGACAAUCGCUUGAUUGUGAUAUCUUGUAAAAUCAGAAAACAAGUUACAUCUUUCCAACACACAAUGGCACGGAAUACAAAUUUACAUUCCAAAAGAGAGGAAUGUGCUGUGGGAUGUUCUGUCUGGCAAAUGUGUUGCUGAUUGGUCAAUAAAUAAAACACUGAUUGGCCAUUGGCUAAGCAGGAAAUAUAGGUGGGAAAAGGAGGAGAAUAAAACAGGGAAGUGGAAGGCUGAGUGAGAGAGACACUACCAGUCGCCAUGAUGAGGAACAGCAUGUGAAGAUGCCUGUAAGCCACAAGCCAUGUGGCAAGGUAUAGAUUUAUAGAAAUGGAUUAAUUUAAGCUGUAAGAACAGUUAGCAAGAAGCCUGUCAUGGCCAUACAGUUUGUAAGCAAUAUAAGUCUCUGUGUUUACUUGGUCGGGUCUGAGUGGCUGUGGGACUGGCGGGUAACAGAGAUUUGCCCAGACUGUGGGCCAGGCAGGAAAACUCAAGCUACAAAUGACACCCAACGUGGGGCCAGAGUUUCCACCUAAAAACUGAGAAAAAAGAUUCUAAAACAGAGCUAAAAACAGCUUCCUAAUUGUCUCUCUCAAAUGAGCAGCAGCUGCCGGUUUGAGCUACUUGUGGGUUUCUGGUGUGCGUGCUCGACCUGCAGUUUGGCGGGACUGAGGCCUCUGCAAGUGGCACAUUAAGCUGCAUGGUGGAUUUAGACUUUGCUAGUACAAAACAAAAAAAAAGAGGUUUCUGGGCUACACGCUGCUUGGAUAAAAGCAUAGACCCACGAUAGCUCCCAGAGCUGGUGGUAAAGUACCACCGCCAUGUUGGGAAGCUGAGGUGGGCGGAGCCAGCAGCCACAGCUGCUGCAGUUUAAAGCAAUAGAUUCACAAUAAGACAGAUUCAGAUGUAAUAGUUUACAAUGUGUGUAAGAUAUACAUAGGCUUAAAAGAGACAAAAAAGGUGAUAUAUACAGUUAUAGAAACAAAUACAUAGUUUUAAAAAAUAAAGUCUUUAAAGAGACAAUAAAAUUAAUAUAAAAAAAUAAGCCACGUAAAAAUGAAUAUUACACAGAGAAUUUGGAUUGUGUUGUCUUUGGGAUUUUUAACUGCAGAAAAACAUUUGAUUGUAAAAGCUGUUGAGUUAUGCCAAUAUGUAUAUUUUAAAGAUACCUUGACUUCAAAAUUUGGAUAUAAGGAUAUGUUGCUUUGGAAAAGAGUCUCUUUUGUUCCCACAGAAAGCCAGAGGCUAUGGAUUUGUUCCAGAUUAAGAUACAUCAGGUUUGACCAGCCAAGACCCCCUGAAAGGUCUCCGAUGACACCAUGGCCCAGAUGAUUCAACAUCCAGAAUGGUUUCAAGGCAACUGGCUCAGACGGACCAGUACAUCAUGGAUGAUCCCCCUGAAUCAGGCUUCUAAGUUGUGAUCAAUCCUGCCACACAUGGACCAGAUUUUUAGCAGGCUCUAUAUGAAGUUGCCUCCUGGGACUAAGAAUCACUUUGCCUACUCCUUUCAUAAAUUGAAGGCUUAGCUGUAUGGAUUCUUACCCUUAGGGAAUCUUUCUCAGCUUCCAAUACAGAGCAAGAGCCUUCCCUUUAAUGAUACUAAACUCCCUGAAAGUUCCUGCCUCUGUUUCACCACUGGACUGCCAUCUGAAACCAUCUAGUUCUGUUUUUCUCUAUGAAACUGACUUUCCAUUUCUUUCUGCCCCAGUUGUUUCUUUUUCACUGUAGACCUGAAUGAGUCAUCAAUAACAACCAUCCCACAAAAUCAA